GGAAGGAUCAUUAACACAAAAGUCCAUUUGAAGGUUAAAUGUAUAAUGUCGGUGACUUUGUUUCACACAAAGGAGCUUAGUUAUAUAUUUAAUCUUUCAAACCUCAAUGUAAACUAGGUUGAAGUCCAUAUUCUUAUUUAAUCAAACUUUUGAUUUGAAUGGAAUAGGAGUGAAACUUUUAAAUGUUGAAUCACGUAUCAAUGUUUAAGUAUGUAAUAUAUGGGUCUUAAUCAGAUUCAUAUACUAUCAUAUAAUAACAUUCGACUGAUGUUUUAACAAAAACACUAUAUAAAUAUAAACCAAGACAACUUGUAACAGUGGAUACCUUGGUUCCCAGGUCGAUGAAGAGCGCAGCGAACUGCGAUAAGUCAUGUGAAUUGCAGAAUUCCGUGAAUCAUCGAACUCUUGAACGCAAAUUGCACUUGGGUGUUGAACCCAAGUGUGCCUGCUCGAGUGUCGGCAAUAAAUCCUCAAUGCUAUAGCUAUUUCGAUAGUUUUUAGAAUUGAAAGUGAAAGUUCAUUAUGGUUAUUUAAUGAUCUUUUUAAAUGGAUGGAUGGCUGAUAUCAUAUUUGAGAUGCUUUUUAUAAAGUAUUGAUCAAAUUACAAUAUUAGUUGGAAUAAAUUAAGAUCUUAGGAUCAUCUAAUCUAUUCUAUCUAGUAAUUUAAUCAUAUUUUAUGGAAUGGUAUUCUUAAGAUUUCGGAUUAUAUCCUAGUCUAAUAUAUAACCUUUUACGGGGUUAUAUAAAAGACAAAUAUAUUUAAAUCUCGACCUCGAAUUAGGCAAGAUCACCCGGUGGACUUAAGCAUAUUAUUAACCGGAGGAAAAGAAACUAACAAGGAUGCCCUUAGUAACGGCGAGUGAAGCGGGCAAAGCUCAAAUUUAAAAUCUGGGGUUCUUAUGAAUCUCCGAAUUGUAGUUUUUGGAUUGUUAAUCACGGGGUUAUAUAUAUGGGAGUAAGUUCUUUGGAACAAGGCGUCAGAGAGGGUGAGAACCCCGUAUGCGUCCCUAUAUAUGAUUCAACAGGUGAUUAGCUUUUCACGAGUCGGGUUGUUUGGGAUUGCAGCCCUAAAUAGGUGGUAGAUCUCAUCUAAAGCUAAAUAUUCCUGGGAGACCGAUAGCGAAGAAGUAGUGUGAACGAAAGGUGAAAAGAACUUUGAAAAGAAGGUGAAAAGUACUUGAAGCUGUUCCAAGGGAACCGUAGAUGAGCAGUGACUGUUUGUUGACAAUUCAAUGUAUUGUGUAAGCACAUGUUGGAUACCUGGAGAUGUAUGUCCCAGAGUACUGAGUGUAGUUUAUUUGAUGCAUGUACUUUGUUAAUUGAACGAGUCAACAUCAGUUUGAUUGUGUCGGAGAAAGGUAAGGAGAAGGUAGGUUAUUCCUUCGGGAUUGACUGUUAUAGCUCUUUAUUGCAUACGAUGCGUUGGACUGAGGAAGCAAAACGUACGCCUCGGCGAGGUAGUUGACUGACCUAUGUGUAUGACUUUAAUAUGUCUGCUUGCAGGAUGUUAAUUCGAUACAUGUAGCAUAUGUUGACCCAUCUGUACGUUAGGGAUGUUGACGAAAUGCUCUUCUAUGACCCGUCUUGAAACACGGACCAAGGAGUCUAACAUGUAUGCGAGUAUUUGGGUGGUAAACCCGAGUGCGCAACGAAAGUGAGAGAUGCGAAUUCGUAAUUGAAUGCAGCAUCGGCCAACUGUUCUUAGGGACGGAUUGCGCCGGAGCACACAUGAUGGGACCCGAAAGAUGGUGAACUUUGCGUGCGCAGGGUGAAGCCAGAGGAAACUCUGGUGGAGGCUCGUAGAGAUACUGACGUGCAAAUCGUUCUUCUGACGUGCGUAAAGGGGCGAAAGACUAAUCGAACCAUCUAGUAGCUGGUUUACAC
RNAcentral lists this unclassified non-coding RNA (1884 nucleotides) under uncultured fungus. Its description in RNAcentral is "sequence contains 18S rRNA gene, ITS1, 5.8S rRNA gene, ITS2, 28S rRNA gene". The stretch from base 768 to 1884 matches the Rfam family "Eukaryotic large subunit ribosomal RNA", at positions 1 to 961 of the family's 3401-position model. Lineage: Eukaryota; Fungi. The record is from RNAcentral.